RNAcentral lists this ribosomal RNA (468 nucleotides) under uncultured bacterium. Its description in RNAcentral is "partial 16S ribosomal RNA". It matches the Rfam family "Bacterial small subunit ribosomal RNA", at positions 28 to 507 of the family's 1533-position model. The record is from RNAcentral.
GACGAACGCUGGCGGCGUGCUUAACACAUGCAAGUCGAACGGAAAGGCCCUGCUUGUGUGGGGUGCUCGAGUGGCGAACGGGUGAGUAACACGUGAGUAACCUGCCCUUGACUGUGGGAUAACUUCAGGAAACUGGGGCUAAUACCGGCUAGGAGCUCCUGCUGCAUGGUGGGGGUUGGAAAGUUUCGGCGGUGGGGGAUGGACUCGCGGUUUAUUAGCUUGUUGGGGGGGGAGUGGCUUACCAAGGCUUUGGCUGGUAGCCGGCGUGGGAGGGUGAACGGCCACAUUGGGACUGAGAUACGGCCCAGUCUCCUACGGGAGGCAGCAGUGGGGAAUAUUGCACAAUGGGCGGAAGCCUGAUGCAGCAACGCCGCGUGCGGGAUGACGGCCUUCGGGUUGUAAACCGCUUUCGCCUGUGACGAAGCGUGAGUGACGGUAAUGGGUAAAGAAGCACCGGCUAACUACGUG